UAAGGAAUAUUGGACAAUGGAGGCAACUCUGAUCCAGCCAUGCCGCGUGAAGGAAUAAGGCCCUAUGGGUUGUAAACUUCUUUUAGACGGGACAAAACCCCUUUACGUGUAAAGGGUUGAUGGUACUGUCAGAAUAAGCAUCGGCUAACUUCGUGCCAGCAGCCGCGGUAAUACGAAGGAUGCAAGCGUUAUCCGGAAUUAUUGGGUUUAAAGGGUGCGUAGGCGGACUAAUAAGUCAGUGGUGAAAUCUCCGAGCUUAACUUGGAAACUGCCGUUUAUACUAUAGGUCUUGAAUUAUCUGGAGGUAAGCGGAAUAUGUCAUGUAGCGGUGAAAUGCUUAGAGAUGACAUAGAACACCAAUUGCGAAGGCAGCUUGCUAUGCGAUUAUUGACACUGAGGCACGAAAGCGUGGGUAGCAAACA
Molecule: ribosomal RNA, 422 nt
Filed under: uncultured bacterium
Lineage: Bacteria
Description: bacterial SSU rRNA
Rfam family: Bacterial small subunit ribosomal RNA
Source: RNAcentral